GUACUUUCUUCCGCAGUGCAUAUCCUACCAUUGGAACAAUUCAGAGAUUAGCAUGGUCCCUGCGCAAGGAUGGCACAUAAAUGCGGAAGUGCUCUGUAUUUAA
This is a small nuclear RNA of Ursus americanus (American black bear), 103 nucleotides long. Lineage: Eukaryota; Metazoa; Chordata; Mammalia; Carnivora; Ursidae. The record is from Ensembl.